Molecule: long non-coding RNA, 2156 nt
Filed under: Nicotiana tabacum (common tobacco)
Lineage: Eukaryota; Viridiplantae; Streptophyta; Magnoliopsida; Solanales; Solanaceae
Description: long non-coding RNA (NTAB_LNC010724)
Source: RNAcentral
ACGACGUCAACCAAAAAUGUCUAAUAUUAUCACAAUUUAAACAACCUCAUACAAUUAAACAAGACAUUAAAAUGAUUUUAGAAUUCUCAAUUAAAAAUAUUAAAACCUUACACCAAUCCGAACUAGAACAAACCAAAUUGUGCUGGUUCAAUAACCAACCUCAAACUGGUUUUAAAAGGGCAAAUUCGCAGAAGGGAAGAAACAACAUUACCAAUUAUACAGUUUUAAAAGAUAGAAUGAUUCAGACUACUAACAUGUUCAAUAGUAGCCAAACCCCUUAACAUGUUCAAUUAAAGCUCAUCAUGAGUACACAUCCAACAAUCCCUCGAGAAAGCAAACCCCAAUAGUUAUGAUCAACAGUAGCUAACUAUUAACAGAUGAACAAGCUAGUACGAAUCACAUGCUUGAGCUUGAACUUCUAUUACAGUGGUCUCAUGACGCAUAUAUGUCUGAAUAACCAUUUCGACAACUUUGUAACCUAUAUGUUCAAAACUUCAAUUCAUUUGAAUUCCACACCUCAAACUCAAACCCCCUCAGAAUCAAUCCAACGAGCAAACAUGGAUUCACUUUUUCAGACUUUAGCAACAUGAGGAAGGGCUACACUAACAUGCAUAAUAUAGGAUUUACAUACAUAAUUAUACAGAAAUGGAAGAAAUAGACUUGAGAUUCAACUUGUAUCCAAAGUACUUCAUAUUCAAAGUGCAGAUUCACCUUUCACAUGUUGUUAUGGUUCUAAGAGAUACCUGGAGAUUGAAAGGAAACAAAAGAAAUAAUGAAUCAGUGGUUGAGAAGCAACAGAACAGUAGCAGAAAUCAGUUCCAGCAAAACCAGCUCAAACCCAGAAAAUGAUGUGCAACAAUCAGCAAAAAUUGACCAGAACUUCAACCAAACUCUUAAACCACCCAAAUAAAACCAUUUCAUCCCCAGAUAGAUCUGAUAUCAUUUCAGGAAUUCGAGUCUUAAUAAAUCACAAAAAACUCAAUGAAACAGUAAUUUUCAGUGAAAUUCUUAGCCGUCUUUGUUUUCUCAUUUUUUUUAACUCUUCUCUCUAUGCCUUGAAAGGCAAGGAAACAUGCCUUUAUAGGAAAGGAAGUAGGGCAGCCUAGAAAAGUUCAGCUUUGCAAUUAGGCCCUUUUCCAAUUUUUAUUUUUGCCUAGAUAGCCUUAGUUAAACAUCAAAAAAUCAACUUAAACCCCCCACCCAGUUUCCUAGAAGCUUUUCAAGCAAUUACCAAAAGAUUCCCUAUGCUAAUUAUUCAGAUUACCCCCCCAUACCCUUAUUUUUACUUUAGCCUACCAGCCCAAAAUGGGUCCGGUUGGACCCGAAGGCUCAAAACAAGUUAGUUCUGGCAAGACGUGGGCUGGAUCCUUUCUUAGGCCCAGGUCAAACCCUGCCAGUUAUGAGAAAUAAGAAAACAAGAGAAACAAUUUGGACUCCUAAACAAAAAUGUGAACCAAAACUCAAUACGACCCAAAAACUAAAACAAACGAAAUUUAAACCAACACUAAUUUACCAGUUAAUGCAGAAUUAAACUAAAUUAUCACAUCACUUUAAUAAAGUUAAAUCAAAAGCUAAAUUGAGACCGUGAAAUAAGAAUUCAUUAAGCCAUUUAACAAAAGGGAAACAAACAAAACACAAUUAGCAACUAAGCCUGGAACAGAACAACUAAAAGAGAAUAGAUUGACGGGGUUAUGGCUUGUCCAGAAGUUUGGUCGAUUUUCGACUGAAUUAACCUAGGAGAAUAAGAAAAGAGAGAGAAAGAAGGCAAAAGGAAGGAAUAAACUUACCGACUCGGCUCGAACUCGACUCACUUUGAUUCAAUCCAUAAAUAGAGUCAAUCGCCUGUUCUUUGCCAAGAACAAGCGACCAACAUCAUUUUGAGAUCAAAUCGACUUUGAACAUUGAGGAAAUAUUGGAAGAAAAUCCUUGCAUGCAUAACUCCGAUUGGGCUUCUAAAGCUUGAACCCUAAUUUGAGAUUCGACGAGUUCUGGCCUCAUUCGAAUGGUACAAGGUAGGGGUUUGGACGGAGGGGAGUGAGGGGGUCAUGGGGUGUUAUUUAGAUGGUGGUUGGAGGAGGUGCCGCCGGGUUUAUGGUGGUGGAGAAAGGGUGGCGGCAGGUUAGGGUUCUUAGGGGUCUCUGAAUUGGGUGUAGGAG